AGUGAACGCUGGCGGUAGGCCUAACACAUGCAAGUCGAACGGCAGCACAGUAAGAGCUUGCUCUUACGGGUGGCGAGUGGCGGACGGGUGAGGAAUACAUCGGAAUCUACUUUUUCGUGGGGGAUAACGUAGGGAAACUUACGCUAAUACCGCAUACGACCUACGGGUGAAAGCAGGGGAUCUUCGGACCUUGCGCGAUUGAAUGAGCCGAUGUCGGAUUAGCUAGUUGGCGGGGUAAAGGCCCACCAAGGCGACGAUCCGUAGCUGGUCUGAGAGGAUGAUCAGCCACACUGGAACUUGGACACGGUCCAGACUCCUACGGGAGGCAGCAGUGGGGAAUAUUGGACAAUGGGCGCAAGCCUGAUCCAACCAUACCGCGUGGGUGAAGAAGGCCUUCGGGUUGUAAAGCCCUUUUGUUGGGAAAGAAAAGCAGCAGGUUAAUACCCCGCUGUUCUGACGGUACCCAAAGAAUAAGCACCGGCUAACUUCGUG
This 492-nucleotide ribosomal RNA is filed under the name uncultured bacterium. RNAcentral describes it as "partial 16S ribosomal RNA". It matches the Rfam family "Bacterial small subunit ribosomal RNA", at positions 29 to 507 of the family's 1533-position model. The record is from RNAcentral.